This 75-nucleotide transfer RNA is filed under the name Candidatus Woesearchaeota archaeon. RNAcentral's name for it is "tRNA-Met". It matches the Rfam family "tRNA". Rfam says of the family: Transfer RNA (tRNA) molecules are approximately 80 nucleotides in length. The record is from RNAcentral. Lineage: Archaea; Nanobdellati; Candidatus Woesearchaeota.
AGCGAGGUGGGGCAGCCAGGAGUGCCCGGGGGGCUCAUAACCCCCAGGUCGAUGGUUCAAAUCCAUCCCUCGCUA